RNA transcript from Mytilus californianus (California mussel), 5329 nucleotides. RefSeq lists it as uncharacterized. NCBI's taxonomy places the organism in Eukaryota, Metazoa, Mollusca, Bivalvia, Mytilida, Mytilidae. The record is from RefSeq and is a predicted model, not a curated record. The transcript is spliced from 6 exons.
UUACAUUUAAAUUUUGUUGUGAAAUUGCAUUCCUGACGAACGCACACACCUUUUUGGAAUAUUAGAUGUUACAACAGCUAAUAUGUUACCAAUUAUACUUAUUCACGCAACUGUUGUGAUGACAGUGACAGCUCAAAAAAACCUAACACCAUUUGGCAAUGCAAUGCAAAGUUCACAGUCUGGUACUGGUAAGGGUAUACCAGAAAAUGCUAUAAAUCCACCAAUAUCGAAUGAAUAUGAUCUGGAAAUAUGUUCACAAACAACAGAGUCAGGAUAUUCAACGGCAUGGUGGAUGUUCGAAUUUUCUUUAGGCACGGCAUACAUUGAAAAUAUCGAAAUUUACUACCGAGAAAACUAUGCAGUUCGGAUGAAUGGAUUUAAAUUAUAUGUGACCAAUACAUCAACUUUUCCACCUGACGGUUAUCUCUGUUAUGAAGAUUAUUAUUCUCCUGGAGGUCCUUAUCCAAACAUCCAUCAGACAAUUCCUUGUAAUCAACUUGGAAAAUAUGUCAUUUAUUACGAUGAUAUAGGAUCUGAUGAAGGAAAUAUCUACGGACCUAUUAUUGAGUUAUGUUACGUUGCCAUAAAUGGAUGCUUCAAAGGUACCUGGGGAACAAAUUGUUCAGAUGCAUGUCCACCAAAAUGUACAAACCAACAUUGUUAUCCUGCAAACGGUUCAUGUGUUUGGGGGUGUGAUCUGCAGAAUUGUUUAAAUAACAUCUGCGAUAAACAUACAGGUGCUUGCAGUGAAGGAUGUGUACCUGUAUUUGCCGGACAGUUCUGUAACAUUAGUAAGUAUUGUUAAUACAUGUUUGUGUUUUUGAUAAACCAGUUGCCUAGAACGACUAUUUUUUUCUCUCACAAAUAUGAUAAAUAUAGUAAAAACAUAUUACAUGCAGUUACUAAGGUUUAAACUCAGUAUGUAACAUUUGAUCAAGCUAUGGAAUCUGGUCUACUUACCAAUUAAACAACCAAUAUAUUUGCAAAUAGAUUUGACAUUAUCAAAACAUAGUAUUUAUACUAUUUUGAUAUUUUUUUUUAUCUAACUGUGUGUUGUACUUUACAUACUUAUACUUUAAGGUAAAAUAACUAAAUAUAUAUCUUAUAACCAUUCCAUUGUUAUUACCAUUUUCUAAAUUUAAUUUGCUUUAUUUGCUUUAUUUGGCUUGUUCUGUCUUUUAAUGCAUAUUAUAACUAACUUUAUCAGCUUUCAAUAUACAUGAUGUGAAUAUUCGCAAUGGUGUGGUUUAUGUUGUACAUCGAUUGUUUGUUUAUGUCCUGUGUGUGUUUUUUUGGUCGUCGUUACAACUUCAUCUUGCCUUAUGUCAUACUAUUUUUUGUACUCGACUUUUAAUAAAGAUUAUUUGACUUUUCCAUUCUUACUUGUAUUUCAACAAUUGUAAUGGACGACAUCAUUUUCAAUGGUGUUAAAAGCAGAUUUAAGUGUUAAAUGAAAUAUGAUAAUUUUAAUGUAGGAAUAACAACAUGAACGAAUAGAGGUAAAGUUUGUAUAAUAUAAAAUUGCAGAAAAUAAGCUUAAUGCCUUCAUUCAAGUUAUUCGCGUAAUGCCUAUGCGUAGGUUUUUGCAUAGGAUUUUAGCUUAAAGUAUAAUUUUGCUCAUUUUCUUAAACAUAUACAUUCAAAACAGAAAAUUCAUUCUAUUCUUUGUUAUGAUAUGUAUGUAUUGUAGAUACAUUUUUAUAUUUAUAACAAAAAGUUUGAAACAGACAAUUGCGUUAAAUGAGCUCUUAAAUAUACAUCAUGUUUGUAAACAAUUCUUUAUUUCACAGAAAUCAUUUCAUAAUGUUGAUAAAGUGAGAGUACCAAUUUUCUUACUUUUUUUUACUUAUCAUAAUAUGUAUCAUUAUCACUAACUUAGUUUUUGUCUUUUUUGCAAUACAAUACCUGCCAAUUUGUCCACGAUUACAUAGAUAACCUAGACUCCAAUGGAACAGUCACACAAUCGUAUCCUAAUAUGACAGAAAUCCUGCAAGACUGUAAACAGACGAAAAUGGGACAUCUGGUUUUUAUUCUAUAACAACUAGUUUACAGAGCAUCACAUGUUUGACUACAGGUUUUGGUGGUAAGAAAAAAAGUUAUUAUUGCAUUUGCUAACAUAGCAAAUAAAACAAAACCACUAGUGAAACGAUAUCAUGCUGACAAUGAAAAUCGAACGUUAAACAUAGGAUCAACAACGACCGAGGUCAUGAGACGAAAAACAAGCAAAGUCCUCAAAAUACAAUUGAAAACAUUUAUGACUGAGUGACACUAACACAAUAAAAGACAGAUGAUAAUCUCAGAUCGACUAAGACUAAAAGCUUUAAUGUUCAAAUAGAUGCACCCAGCGGUGUACUCGUAACAGUAUAAAUUGAGAUCGAGUGAUUGUUGUUUGUUAAAUUCUAGUUGCAAAUAUUCAUGCAUACAUGUAUUCAGGACGAUAGGUUCUACAAAAUGGUUAAAAAAAAAAUUAAGAUUACGACUGGAAACAAGGAUAUCUAGAAUAGGGACAGACAUCUACAAUGAAGCUUGCAACUAGCACCACCUACGUAACAAUCGUUUUCGUCAAAUUCUUUAGAUAUAAUUGUCAUUAGUAUUAUUGUUGUAAUUAUUAGUGUUACAUAACUUACAUACACAAAUGUAUGUAGCUAGAUGUACAGUUACCGUUAAGCUACUGAUUAUCCUUAGCUUAUUAUACUGUUAUACCUAAAAGUUACAUACGAUCCUGAGAUUCAGAAGUAAGAUGAGUAGACAACGUCUGCUAAAAGAUAAAAUAUGAUGGCAUAAAUCUCUUAGGAUGCAUAAUGAUGGACAUAUUCAUUAAAUUAUAAUUUAAUCUAUUUAAAUGAAUUCUUUUUUUUACCAGGGCAAACUGCAUCAAAGUAAAUAAAGGAAAACACAGUUUUUUUCUGUUUAAUAAGAUAAUGAUAGUCCUAUGAAAUAACUUAGUAAGUUGAAACAACUUUUGUUUCAUUUAUCUACACGAGUUUUGGAGCCACUAAUUGGUAAACCUGGCAUACUUUUUGAUGUUAUGGUUCCUGACCAUGCUGAACCAUGCAAAGCUUUUUUUUAGACAAGUGUAUCUUGAACGUUGCACCUGAACAACCAACAAAAUUAGCAUGAUUACGGAAGAUUUUGAAGAUAUCGAGGAGAGAAGGACCUACAAUUCGCCAGUAAACUCGAAGAAAUCAUCGAAUUGAUGGAUGAAUCAUCAAUUUAAAACACGAAUAUAUUGUAAAGACGCAUGAACUGUGAAUGAAAAACAACUUUCUUAUAUUAAUAACCAUGCAAAUGAUUAUGUAUCAUUUUGAAAUCCAUGAUCUCCUUAUUUAAAUUUGUCAUCAGGAACCAAAGGAGAAAGUUCAUUGUGAAACUUCCUUUCAACUGUUAAUUGACAAACACUUUAACAUCUUACAUGAAUAUCUUUUUUCGGCGAAAUAGGUGCUCUUUAUUAUUUCUUAACAUGAAUUAUUCACACAGUCAGGGUUAUUUUUAUGUUUCACACAUGAAAAAGUAUGUUAUGUUUAAAUCAUACAUAUUGAUCAAUCUAAGUCUCUGUAAAGCGGGAAACUCUUGUUGUUUCCCCAGUGGUUUAGUUUAUAAAUGUCUGCAAUUAGACAAAGUUUAACUAUAUGUUAACGCCAAUUUCUUCCAAAAUCGUAAAAUAUUGAUGAGUAUUCAUUUUAAAAAUUGUACCUCCUAAAAUAUCCUUAUCCUACAUAUACAUUAUAUAUAAGUUUUGCCAAAUACAGCUAAGGUGAUCUAUUCCUGAGGAAGAAAAGCCAAAAAGCAACUUUGUGUUGGAUCAAGCUAAUUUCUGGUUUGAUUUCUCAGGAGAGUAAAGAUAUUUAUUCCUCAGAAGAUUUUUUAACUGAUAUUUAUGACACUCAUUUGUAUCUUUAAUAUGUUUUUCCAUACAUUUAUAUAAUUUAAAUUUUCAGUUUAAAUGACAGUCUUAAAUUUACCUUUAUUUGUUUUUCUUAUACUAUUAUUCUGCUUACAAAUAUUCAAUGAACAAUCAUAUUACAGAGUAUAAAUUGAUUUGGAUUUGAAUGGUGUUAUGAGCGUCUUCAUGUGGAAAAGGUCUGAUUUCAAUAGAAAGAAAAGACUGCCUUACUCCAAACUAUUGGAAUACAAGUUUGAUGGUAACAUCAUUAUUUUCAUUGGAGAUGGUAAAACUCUACAAGUGCGAGUAAGCCUUGCGACGAUUUGAAAAAAAAAUGUUCACAUGCUUUAUAUUUAACUCAUACAUUUAACAAACAUUUUGAACUAUCUGAUUAAUAUUUUGGUUCCCUUGAGUAGGGCUUUAAGUUUAAUUGCAGCAAAAUUACUUUUUACAAUUUGGUAUAAUCAAAAUUUUCUUACAUAGUACAUAAGAAUCGGUAUGGUUUUUAACAUAUAAUCUAAUUAUAUGCAAUCAAACAUCGUUAUAACACAAUUUAUAUUUGCAAUGGGAUGUUCUUUAUCUGUACAUACAUAUAACAUGUUACUUUUAUUAUUCUUCCCUUAGUUAUUUGAUGUUAUUCAGGGUUAUAUCUGGUCUAUAUACCAGCUUUGAUAAGUGUUUGAUAUUACUAUAAAUUUUCACUUCGUACUAUGAACAUCAAAAUUAUUUAUUUUGUGAAAAUAUUUCCUUUCUCUAUUGGAACUGUACACGUAUACCUAAACACAAAAUUAUUUCCAUUUACCUGUGUUUAAAAUAAUUGCUAAUGGCUGAUAUUUUUGUUCGAGCACAUUGUUUUUCUUAAAUUGUUUAACUUUCAUACCGAUAUAACAUGUUACUUUUAUUAUUCUACCCUUAGUUUAUUUAUUUUGUAUUUACAUUGUGUCAUAGGUCAAAUUUAUUUGUUCAGUGUAUGUUCAAUGGUGUUAAUAUGUCCUUUGAUUGAGUUAAGCUAUUUCAGUUGAUAUUUUAUAGUGUGUCUUUCUAUGUUGUGACGUUACACUAUUGUUUCAGAAAAAGGGUGAAGGUUUGGUACCAUUAAAACGUUUAAACCCGCUGCAUUUGUUUGCACCUGUCCUAAGUCAGGAAUCUGAUGUUCAGUAGUUGUCGUUUGUUGAUGUGGUUCAUAAGUGUUUCUCGUUUCUCGUUUUUUUAUAUAGAUUAGACCGUUGGUUUUCCCGUUUGAAUGGUUUUACACUAGUAAUUUUUUGGGGCCCUUUAUAGCUUACUGUUCGGUGUGAGCCAAGGCUCCGUGUUGAAGACCGUACUGUGACCUAUAAUGGUUUACUUUUAUAAAUUUUGACUUGGAUGGAGAGUUGUCUCAUUGGCACUCAUACCACAUCUUCUUAUAUCUAUGUAUGAUUUUGAAUUAAAUGUUUUAUCAUUUGA